Molecule: transfer RNA, 62 nt
Filed under: Loxodonta africana (African savanna elephant)
Lineage: Eukaryota; Metazoa; Chordata; Mammalia; Proboscidea; Elephantidae
Rfam family: tRNA
About the family: Transfer RNA (tRNA) molecules are approximately 80 nucleotides in length. Their secondary structure includes four short double-helical elements and three loops (D, anti-codon, and T loops).
Source: Rfam by way of RNAcentral
AGCAGUGUUUAAGUACCUGGCUGCUAACCAGAAGAUUGGUGGUUCAAAUCCACCUACUGCUC